Molecule: ribosomal RNA, 3621 nt
Filed under: Triticum aestivum (bread wheat)
Lineage: Eukaryota; Viridiplantae; Streptophyta; Magnoliopsida; Poales; Poaceae
Description: partial small subunit ribosomal RNA
Source: RNAcentral
AUGGCAGAGUUUGUAGUCAGGCCACUGGUAUCCACGUUGAUGAACACGGCAUCCAGCUACCUGCUGGACCAGUACAAGGUGAUGGACGGCAUGAAGGAGCAUCGCGAGACCCUCAAGCGCCAGCUACCAGCCAUCUUGGACAUCAUCCAAGAUGCGGAGGAGAAAGGAGCUUCCCGACCUGGAGUGCGUGCUUGGCUCGAAGCACUCAAGAAGGUGGCCUAUGAGGCGAACGAUGUCUUUGAUGAGUUCAAGUACGAGGCCCUCCGGCGUGACGCCAAGAAGAAGGGACACUACAAGAAGCUUGGCUUUGACAUCGUAAGCCUCUUCCCUGCUCGCAAUCCCAUUGUAUUUCGUUACAGGAUGGGCAAGAAGCUGUGCAGGAUUGUGCGCACCAUUGAGGUCCUUGUCAGAGAGAUGAAUAGAUUUGAAUUCAAACCCACGCAGCAAGCACCGCAAUCCAAGCAGUGGCGCAACACAGAUUCCAUAAUAAUCGACUCUGAGAAGGAUAUUGUUAGCAGGUCCAGAAACGAAGAGAAGGAGAAGAUCGUGGAUAUAUUGAUUGGUCAAGCUGGCGAUAGGGAUCUCAUCGUCCUUCCCAUUGUUGGAAUGGGCGGGCUGGGCAAGACCACAUUUGCUCAACUCGUGUACAAUGAUCCUGCAAUCAAGGAGUAUUUCCAGCUCCAGAGGUGGUGUUGCGUGUCAGAUGAUUUUGAUGUUGUGAAGAUUGCAAACAACAUCUGCGAGACCAAUGAGAUCCAUCGUGAAAAGGCAUUGCGGAACCUUCAAAAUGAAGUAAGUGGAAAGAGAUACCUUAUUGUGUUGGAUGAUGUAUGGAAUGAAGAUGCUGAUAAGUGGGAAAAACUCAAGACCUGCCUGAAGCAUGGUGGCAAGGGGAGUGCAAUACUAACGACCACUCGUAAAGCGCAAGUGGCUCAAAUUAUGAAGAUGUGUAUUGAUGAUAGCCAUAACUUGGGGAAGCUACAUAAAGUAUUUCUGAAGGAAAUCUUUGAGAACAGAGCAUUUUGUUUGCAUAAGCCAAGUGCUGCUGAGCUAAGUGGUAUGGUUGAAAAGAUUCUGGACAAAUGUGGGGGCUCUCCUUUAGCUGCCAAAGCCUUUGGAUCAAUGUUGAGUAACAAGAAUAGCAUGAAAGAAUGGAUGAAUGUACUAACCAGAAGCAACACUUGUGAUGAGGACACAGGAAUUUUACCUAUACUCAAGCUCAGCUAUGAUGACCUUCCAUUACACUUAAAACAAUGCUUUGCUUUUUGUUCAUUAUUUCCCAAAGAUUAUGAGAUUGAUGUUGAAAUAUUAAUUCAGCUAUGGAUGGCACAUGAUUUCAUACCACUAAAGAAAGGUGACCAUCUUGAAAAGGUAGGCAAAGAAAUUUUUGAUGAGCUAACUUGGAGGUCAUUCUUUCAAGAUGUCAAGCAAACCUCUCAAAGAGAAUAUCAGUAUGAGCUCCGUUCUAGAACAAUAUGCCACAUUCAUGAUCUUAUGCAUGACAUUGCCUUGUCUGUUAUGGGAAAAGAUUGUCUUACUAUAGUCGAUAGGCCUAAUGAAAAGGAGUUGUUGUCAAAAGGCUCUACUCGUCACAUGUUCUCAUCAUAUCGCCAUAUGGGAAUGCUUUUGGAUGAUUAUCUGAAGAAACACUCUACAUCUCUCCAAACACUGUUGUAUCCAGAUAGCUUCAGUCGAGGCUCAGCACCACACUUGUCGAUGUACAGUCAUCUGCGAGCACUGCAACUCUUUGGGUUGAGGAAACUUCCACUCCGACCAAGGCACCUACAGCACCUGAGGUAUCUUGAUCUCUCAUCCAACUGGUGUAUCAAGGAGCUUCCCAAAGAAAUAAGCGUAUUGUAUAAUCUGCAGACUCUUAAUCUUACCUUCUGCAUUAAUCUUGAUCGACUUCCAAAGGAUAUGAAGUAUAUGACUAAUCUCCGCCACCUCUAUACAAAUGGAUGCACAUCAUUGAAGUGCAUGCCUCCAGACCUCGGGCAACUCACUUCCCUACAGACUCUAACGUAUUUUGUGGUGGGUUCUAGUCAUGGUUGCAGUACUAUUAAAGAACUACAAGACUUAAAUCUUGGUGGUGAAUUAAAGCUAUCUGGUCUUCACUAUGCAAUAGAAGAAGAUGCUAAAGCAUGCGGCCUUGGAAACAAAGAGAAACUCACACAUUUAUCUCUUGAAUGGAAUGAUGAUAGUACUGAACUGGACCAGCAAAGGAAUGUGCUUGAUGCUCUUAAACCUCAUGCCGCACUGGAGUUUCUACAAAUAAACUCCUAUAAAGGUAUUGGAUUCCCGACAUGGGUGACAAGUCUUAAUGUUCUGCAGCGUUUGACCGAGCUCCACCUAGAUGGUUGUACAAUGUCUGAGGAGUUUCCCCAAUUCGGUCAAUUUAACGCCCUUGAGGUUCUUGUUUUGGAAAGGUUAAACAAACUGCAAAGCCUAUGUAGUCACAAUUCAUCUGCUGCAUUUCCAGCACUAAAAGACCUCAGAUUAGCAAAUUUGGAACUUUUUGAGAGAUGGGUGGCAAGUACAGAAGGAGAAGAACUAGUGUUUCCUGUACUUGAGAAAGUUCAAAUUGAGAACUGCCCAAAGCUAACAACUCUGCCUGAAGCACCAAAACUGAAAGUUAUGAAGCUAAGAGAAGAAAAAGCUCAACUAUCCUUGUCAAUAUUUCGAUCCAGGUACAUGUCUUGCUUGUCUAAGUUAUCUGUGUUUGUCAAAGAUACAGAAGCAACACCAACACUGAAGCUCGAUCAGGAUCGUGAAGUAUCUCUUUUGGAAUUGUGGGUGGAUGGUUGCAACUUUUUGUUCCCCUCAAAUCCAUCACAGCCAGCAGUUGCAGUCUGGAAAUGGUUUGGUCAGCUAGAGGAAUUAGUGAUCGAAGAUUGUGAUAUUCUCACCUACUGGCCUGAAGAAGAGUUUCAAAGCUUGAUAUCAUUGAAGAGUUUAACCAUCGAUAACUGCAGCAAGCUAAUGGGAUAUCGUACUCGAGGAAGGGAUCAACUCCUGCCAAAUCUAAUAAAACUAAGGAUAUAUAAUUGUGAAAGCCUGACAGAGCUUUUCGUUCUCCCCACAUCUCUUGUGCAUAUUUUCGUUGUUGAUUGUGAUAGUCUUGAGUCCAUACUGGGGCAGGAUGAUAGAGAGUUGGAGAGUCUACAAAACUUUGAUACAACAGCAUCGUUGGAAAACUGCAGUGACCUUGCACCCACAAGUAUGCCAGAGCAGUCACUUACAGCCAGAAUUAAUCCUUUGCCAUGUCUCAAGACUUUAUCAAUAGGUGACUGUAAGAAGCUUCGUUUCGUCCCAGCACAGUUGGAUGCUCUCCUAGAUCUGUACAUUGAUAAUUGCAAUGUUCUGGAGUCGCUUGAUUGUUUGGGAGACCUGCCGUUACUGACAACACUAAAUCUUCAGAGGUGCAAACGUUUGGCAUCUGUUCCACGUAGUUUUGCCAAUUAUUCAGCCCUUCGGGAGCUCACUAUUGAAUACUGCCCAGCUAUAAAUAUGAAGGCUCUUUAUGGACAACGGCUUGAUAGCCUUGAAAUCAAGGAUCUGUCUCAUGCUGGUUUAUGCGAUCCUGAUGAAGGUGUUAAAAUGAACCCAUGGAACCUCGUGUGA